Molecule: long non-coding RNA, 639 nt
Filed under: Mytilus galloprovincialis (Mediterranean mussel)
Lineage: Eukaryota; Metazoa; Mollusca; Bivalvia; Mytilida; Mytilidae
Source: RNAcentral
GUCCGCGUUCGUUUCGUGUAAGUGCGUCACUCCUAUUGAACCUUUUGGGACAUAUGAAACAUUUUUAAGUAGUUGUAUGCGACUUGACAUGUCUCUGAUAAUUGACUCUAUGUUUUAUGACCCUGUUACAAAUUUUACAUUUAAAUCCCUCGUCUAUUUCUAAAUUUCUCUUUAAGUUUUCGCAACUCGUUUUCAAAGGUUGGACUACCAUCUCUAUAUAUUUUGUCUGAAUCAUGAAAUAUUGUUUCUAAAUCCAGGAUGUUGACAUGUGGACAAGAGAGCCGCUUGCUCUUUAAAUAUGAGUGUUAUAUCUUGUUUUCCAUUGGCCAUCAGGUUAACAAACAACCAAUCAGUACGUAAACACCCAAAAUUAGCUGACUAUGCAAGUAAAGAUACGUACAGAAUGCGUCUGGAAUCACAUGACUAGCGUGUUCACUGUUACACAACUUAUAUGACAAGGCCGUGUAGCAAGGGGAAAAAAAUCAGACAAACAGACGGACAGUCAUGUGAGAAGACUGAAUAUGAAUAAAGACGACAUAAAGGAUUUGUAUUGAUGUUUAUAAAUAUAAGAAUAGUGAACAUAUAUAAAUGUGAAUGAGUGAUCAGUCUCGAAAAAGUGAUCCUACCUUUGCGAAUCCC